UACGGAGGGGGCUAGCGUUGUUCGGAAUUACUGGGCGUAAAGCGCACGUAGGCGGCUUUGUAAGUUAGAGGUGAAAGCCCGGGGCUCAACUCCGGAAUUGCCUUUAAGACUGCAUCGCUAGAAUUGUGGAGAGGUAAGUGGAAUUCCGAGUGUAGAGGUGAAAUUCGUAGAUAUUCGGAAGAACACCAGUGGCGAAGGCGACUUACUGGACACAUAUUGACGCUGAGGUGCGAAAGCGUGGGAGCA
Molecule: ribosomal RNA, 246 nt
Filed under: uncultured bacterium
Lineage: Bacteria
Description: partial 16S ribosomal RNA
Rfam family: Bacterial small subunit ribosomal RNA
Source: RNAcentral